AACGAACGCUGGCGGCAGGCCUAACACAUGCAAGUCGAGCGCCCCGCAAGGGGAGCGGCGGACGGGUGAGUAACGCGUGGGAACGUGCCUCUUGCUACGGAAUAGCCUCGGGAAACUGGGAGUAAUACCGUAUGUGCCCUACGGGGGAAAGAUUUAUCGGCAAGAGAUCGGCCCGCGUUGGAUUAGGUAGUUGGUGGGGUAAUGGCCUACCAAGCCGACGAUCCAUAGCUGGUUUGAGAGGAUGAUCAGCCACACUGGGACUGAGACACGGCCCAGACUCCUACGGGAGGCAGCAGUGGGGAAUCUUAGACAAUGGGCGCAAGCCUGAUCUAGCCAUGCCGCGUGAGCGAUGAAGGCCUUAGGGUUGUAAAGCUCUUUCAGUGGGGAAGAUAAUGACUGUACCCACAGAAGAAGCCCCGGCUAAACUCCGUGCCAGCAGCCGCGGUAAU
This 449-nucleotide ribosomal RNA is filed under the name uncultured bacterium. RNAcentral describes it as "bacterial SSU rRNA". It matches the Rfam family "Bacterial small subunit ribosomal RNA", at positions 29 to 524 of the family's 1533-position model. The record is from RNAcentral.